CACGAACCGGACAAACGUUAAUCGGAUUUACUGGGCGUAAAGCGUGCGUAGGCGGCUUUUUAAGUCGGAUGUGAAAUCCCCGAGCUUAACUUGGGAAUUGCAUUCGAUACUGGGAAGCUAGAGUAUGGGAGAGGAUGGUAGAAUUCCAGGUGUAGCGGUGAAAUGCGUAGAGAUCUGGAGGAAUACCGAUGGCGAAGGCAGCCAUCUGGCCUAAUACUGACGCUGAGGUACGAAAGCAUGGGGAGCAAACAGG
This 253-nucleotide unclassified non-coding RNA is filed under the name uncultured Moraxellaceae bacterium. RNAcentral's name for it is "contains 16S-23S intergenic spacer region". It matches the Rfam family "Bacterial small subunit ribosomal RNA", at positions 524 to 776 of the family's 1533-position model. Lineage: Bacteria; Pseudomonadati; Pseudomonadota; Gammaproteobacteria; Moraxellales; Moraxellaceae. The record is from RNAcentral.